This 153-nucleotide ribosomal RNA is filed under the name Pseudomonas aeruginosa. Its description in RNAcentral is "partial 16S ribosomal RNA". It matches the Rfam family "Bacterial small subunit ribosomal RNA", at positions 377 to 523 of the family's 1533-position model. Lineage: Bacteria; Pseudomonadati; Pseudomonadota; Gammaproteobacteria; Pseudomonadales; Pseudomonadaceae. The record is from RNAcentral.
GCGAGCCUGAUCAGCCAUGCCGCGUGUGUGAAGAAGGUCUUCGGAUUGUAAAGCACUUUAAGUUGGGAGGAAGGGCAGUAAGUUAAUACCUUGCUGUUUUGACGUUACCAACAGAAUAAGCACCGGCUAACUUCGUGCCAGCAGCCGCGGUAA